This 253-nucleotide ribosomal RNA is filed under the name uncultured bacterium. RNAcentral's name for it is "partial 16S ribosomal RNA". It matches the Rfam family "Bacterial small subunit ribosomal RNA", at positions 524 to 776 of the family's 1533-position model. The record is from RNAcentral.
UACGGGGGGGGCAAGCGUUGUUCGGAAUUACUGGGCGUAAAGCGCGCGUAGGCGGAUCUGCAAGUCGGGGGUGAAAUCCCGAGGCUCAACCUCGGAACUGCCUUCGAUACUGCGGGUCUCGAGUCCGGGAGAGGUGAGUGGAAUUCCUAGUGUAGAGGUGAAAUUCGUAGAUAUUAGGAAGAACACCAGUGGCGAAGGCGGCUCACUGGCCCGGUACUGACGCUGAGGCGCGAAAGCGUGGGGAGCAAACAGG